RNAcentral lists this ribosomal RNA (448 nucleotides) under uncultured bacterium. RNAcentral describes it as "bacterial SSU rRNA". It matches the Rfam family "Bacterial small subunit ribosomal RNA", at positions 329 to 794 of the family's 1533-position model. The record is from RNAcentral.
UACCAGACUCCUACGGGAGGCAGCAGUGGGGAAUAUUGCACAAUGGGGGAAACCCUGAUGCAGCGACGCCGCGUAAGUGAAGAAGUAUUUCGGUAUGUAAAGCUCUAUCAGCAGGGAAGAUAAUGACGGUACCUGAGUAAGAAGCCCCGGCUAACUACGUGCCAGCAGCCGCGGUAAUACGUAGGGGGCAAGCGUUAUCCGGAUUUACUGGGUGUAAAGGGAGCGUAGACGGCAUGGCAAGUCUGAAGUGAAAGCCCGGGGCUCAACCGCGGGACUGCUUUGGAAACUGUUAAGCUGGAGUGCAGGAGAGGUAAGUGGAAUUCCUAGUGUAGCGGUGAAAUGCGUAGAUAUUAGGAGGAACACCAGUGGCGAAGGCGGCUUACUGGACUGUAACUGACGUUGAGGCUCGAAAGCGUGGGGAGCAAACAGGAUUAGAUACCCCGGUAAA